CAAAUUAAUUCUUUAUUGGAGUUAUUAUUUACAUUAAUAAUUUGAUUGUGAAAUUCAAUCUAAUUUGA
RNAcentral lists this transfer RNA (68 nucleotides) under Adelphocoris nigritylus. RNAcentral's name for it is "tRNA-Val". Lineage: Eukaryota; Metazoa; Arthropoda; Insecta; Hemiptera; Miridae. The record is from RNAcentral.